Molecule: non-coding RNA, 293 nt
Organism: Pelobates cultripes (western spadefoot toad)
Lineage: Eukaryota; Metazoa; Chordata; Amphibia; Anura; Pelobatidae
Source: the annotation of a GenBank genome assembly
CCAGGGAUAAUUAGCUUGACCUAAUUUACAUUCCUCAGUCAGAACUCUGGUCUUCUAUCCCAGUUCAUAUUCUUAUUGGUAUGAAUAAUUUGUAAAUACAUUUCAUGUGUGUGCUGUGCUUUUUUAAUAAAAGCUGGAACUCUGAAAUAGUGAUCCUACAAGUUGCCAGUAAGAAGCAUGUGUCUUGUCUCUUUGCUGAGGUCUUGGUUGGAGUCAUGCAAAUUUAAGUCAUGCUAAGGAGCCAUAUUCAUUUAAAUGUAUUACCAGUGGAACAGGCUGGUUAGUAUAUUUUG